AGGACGAACGCUGGCGGCGUGCUUAACACAUGCAAGUCGAACGGUGACCCAUCCUUCGGGGUGGUGAUCAGUGGCGAACGGGUGAGUAACACGUGAGCAACCUGCCCUUGGCUCUGGAAUAACCCCGGGAAACCGAGGCUAAUACCGGAUACGACCUCUUGCGGCAUCGCUUGAGGUGGAAAGUUUUUCGGCCAAGGAUGGGCUCGCGGCCUAUCAGCUUGUUGGUGGGGUAACGGCCUACCAAGGCGACAACGGGGUA
Molecule: ribosomal RNA, 259 nt
Filed under: uncultured bacterium
Lineage: Bacteria
Description: partial small subunit ribosomal RNA
Rfam family: Bacterial small subunit ribosomal RNA
Source: RNAcentral